Molecule: ribosomal RNA, 115 nt
Filed under: Acinetobacter variabilis
Lineage: Bacteria; Pseudomonadati; Pseudomonadota; Gammaproteobacteria; Moraxellales; Moraxellaceae
Also listed under: 3 other names
Source: RNAcentral
GCUGGCGACCAUAGCAAGAGUGAACCACCUGAUCCCUUCCCGAACUCAGAAGUGAAACCUCUUAGCGCUGAUGGUAGUGUGGGGUAUCCCAUGUGAGAGUAAGUCAUCGCCAGCU